ACCUGUUUACGUUUGCGUGCUUCGAAAGCGUAAGCCGACGCCGGUUUGCCACCUGAAUUUGCUUCCCCUCGCCAGCCGGCCACCACACCUCCGGCGGACCGAAUUCCCCAGUGGCCUCGACCCGCGCGCUCGCCCGCCCGUCCGCUCCCGUAGCGGUUCCAACUCCGGUAAGCCCUACCUCGCUCCGAUCCCUGCUCGAAUUUUGCUGCCGCCGGCAACACCGGUUGCCUCCAAAUCUGUGCGGCCGCGAUUGCUUCUAAAUUUUGCUCCGUCCCGUUCUGGUUCGAUGCGCUGUGACUGUGAGCGCGGUAGGGAGUCUAGUGCUGUGACUCAGUCUGUUUGUAGGUUCCGCUUAGAGUUUUGUUGCUUCUAGCGGCGCGAUUGUGCUUGCAGUCCAGAUGUUUUCUGGUGCUGCCUGUGACUGAGGAACGGUAACUCUUUUGUUGAUGCAGUCUGCUCUUAUACCGCUCCAUGUGAUGGAUUUCCUUUUUGUUUGCUCUAGGCUCUGUCCAAAAUUAAGCAAAUAGUGAUCGGAGAAAUGCUUAGUGGCUAGUCUCCUUCCUUUUGGCCAUGAGUGUUGUUAAUUUAAGUUCCACUGUCGGACAGGCUUCUGUUCUUUCAGUGGUUUAUAUUCCGCUGGCUUCAGUUAUUUUUGUUUCAAUUCUGACUGGGUUAGUGGCAUGUGCAAUCGAUAGCAUGCAGUCAGGAGUUGAAUGCUGUGACUCAGACUGUUUAUAAUGUGCAAUUCAACUGUUAUUUCUGGUAGCCUUGCAAUUGUGUUCGUGUCUCACUCGUCCCUCCCAUUUGUGUAUGGGAGGAGCAGUAGUUCUUUUGUUGGUAUCAUUUGGUCUUUACACUGAUUCGUUUGCUGGAUUUCUCCGUGGCUGUUCUAUAGAUUCUGUCGAAAUUUAGACGAGUAGUGGUUGGAGACACUCAUCCUCGAUUUGGUUGUUUACUGUUUUUUUGUUAACUUAGGUAAAACUUCCUGCUGGCUUCUAUUUCUUCAGUGCUACAUUGGGCUGAAAUUUGUUUCGUUGUCCUUAUGGAUAACUUCUUUUGCUGCAGCUUAUUAUUUUUUGUACUGCGAUAUGAGCUGGCGUUUUAUCGUUGUGGUUUGUUUUGAUGCAAACUUGUGCUUGACCUAGUAUCGUUUGUAUGACUGUACCCAAAAGUUUAUAUACUGACAAAUGUAAACCUAGCCCUUUUUUUAGGACUUGAACAUAGCUUUAUUUUGACACCACAUAGUAUUGAUGGAUGACUGGCUUGCUAUUGUGCUCACAUAUCACAGCUUUUCUUGCUGAUAUGUUCGAAAUUGAAUGGUCUAGUGUUACUUUUCUGUAAAUUUGCAUUGUAGAUCUUCAGACGUCUUCUCAAACUUUAGCAGUGUCGUUAGAAUUCAUUAAGGUAUCCAAGAACUGGUUUGACACGAGGAUCGUUUAUGUCAACAAUGUGUUUUGAUUUCGAAAAAAACUUUUUUGGUUGUACAGCAAAGUGUUUUCUAUACAAUUUAUUUCUCAAAACUGUUAUAUAGGGGUUGUAGCUUGAUAGUUCUUGAAAUGCAAUUAGCAAAUCUACCAGAAAACAACAUGCUGCAGCAUUUUUGUUGAUAACUUAAUGCGUCUGUUUGCUGAUGUAUUCUCAUUUGAAAUUAAAUGUUUUUUCUUAGCUUUAUUCUGAUAAUCCAUAUAGAAAUGCUUUAUCAUUGAUGAUGGUUAGCAACUCACUCUUUACCCUUGUCUCGCAUCAUGUUCUUUGAAGUUAAGAUAUAUUUACUUUAUGAAUACUUAUGAACGACAGAUGGGAUUACCAGAUGAAAGAGUGCAAGUAGAUGCACUAGAAAGACAUUUAUUGGGUGGUUUAUCUUCAAACUACUAUAACAGAAGUAUUGAGGAUGAGGUCCUCCAUGAUGCAUCAUUUGCAGAAAUGGAAGAUAAUUUUGUUAAGUAUAAAAUUUCCCAGUGGAUUCUUUUACCUUUAUUACUAGUGUUAGCUUGGGGAGUAGGAGUGCUCAUGCUACUUUACCUACCUAUUCGGAUAUAUGUAUGUCGGAGGGACUUCUGCUCAAGGAAGUUGUAUUUGACACCACAUGCUGUUGUUUAUAAGGUAAACAAGCCUGUUGCAUUUCCUUGUUUUGGGGUUUUCAAGGAGAAAUAUGUUAUCCUCCCUUCAAUUUCUGAUGUUGUUGUUGAGCAAGGUUAUCUCCAAUCCUUUUUUGGGGUAUAUUCUAUCAGAAUUGAGAAUGUUGGUGUUAGAAAGCCUCCUAGUGAUGAUGUAAAAAUAACUGGGGUUGCUCACCCACAUGAUUUCAGGAAGGCUGUUUUAAUCCAUCUUUUGAACAUAAGGAACCUGAAUUUCAGUAGGAGAGCCCCAUCUGAUGGACAACAGAGCACAAAUUGGAAUCCUAUAGCUAGUGCUUCAGAGCCUCCUCUUGGGGAUUUGAUACUAGAGAAGCUUGAUGAAGUUGAAAUCUCUGUAAAGAAAAUGCAAGCAAUGGUACAGGGUGUUGAAACUUCGAAAACAAAGACCACAUCCAGUUGAUUAAAUAUAUGUGGACGCUUGACAGGGUCACUGUCGCUGGCUCCCUGUAUGGUUUCUGUUCACAAUACUGUACCUGUGCCAAGCAAGAAUUUUAUUGGAAAAGGUCCAUUUGUGCAGAAAUCAAAAGUGGAGGACAAGCAUAGCGCGGAGCCAGUGGUGGACAGGUGUAGCGCAGCCGUCAUGGACGCCGAGCCGGUAGAGGACAGGCGUAGUGCCAUCAGGCACGCAGAGGACACCGACGCUCGUGGCCUUCCACCACGAGGUGCGGGGACGGACGCUGGGGCCGGGGCGCGUGGGGUGGUUGUGCUGCCGGCUUUGGAAGAGACUAGAAGUGAAUAUGACGUCCUCACGUCCUACAGAUAACGAGUAACUGUCAGAUUACUCAUUAUAGUGUAAAUCCAAACAACCUGUAAAUUAGAACGAUAGCUUAUAUGUAGAAAUAGGAACUUAUGUGUGUAGUAAAUAUGAUAUUUAAAUCAAUCAAGCUCAAUCUAAAUGACGAGAAGUCCUAAUUACUAGAAAAAUAAGAUAUAAAUGAUCAUUGAUUAACUUAAAUAACUAGUGAUUAAGUAAAAUAGAUUUUAUGUGCAUGAAUCAUUAGGGGGGCUGUGGUCCCUGCCAGCCCCCCCUGCUCCGCCACUGCCCGCAGCAGGAAGAAAAGAUCGAAUUUUGAUGAUUAUGUUUUUUUAGUAAAAUUGUAAUUCUAGCUUUGUUAUUGCUGAAAUUUUUUGCCUGUAAUCUUUUAUUUUCUUGUUAUAUUUUUGGUCCUUUUUGUUGUACUUUUUAGCCACCAAUGGAAAACAAAAGCUUCAAACAAACAUGUAGCUUAGUUUUGUUAUUGCUCUGAGGCCGCCAUAGAGUAGACAUUUUUUGUAAAUAUGCUUUUCUUUGCUAGUAUUUUGGGUGCUAUAAAUAUUUGGUAAGUA
Molecule: RNA transcript, 3464 nt
Organism: Panicum virgatum (switchgrass)
Lineage: Eukaryota; Viridiplantae; Streptophyta; Magnoliopsida; Poales; Poaceae
Exons: 8
Source: RefSeq, a predicted model, not a curated record